UACGGGGGGGGCAAGCGUUGUUCGGAAUUACUGGGCGUAAAGGGUUCGUAGGUGGCCAACUAAGUCAGACGUGAAAUCCCUCAGCUUAACUGGGGAACUGCGUCUGAUACUGGUUGGCUUGAGUGCAGGAGAGGAACGCGGAAUUCCAGGUGUAGCGGUGAAAUGCGUAGAUAUCUGGAGGAACACCGGUGGCGAAGGCGGCGUUCUGGACUGCAACUGACACUGAGGAACGAAAGCCAGGGGAGCAAACGGG
RNAcentral lists this ribosomal RNA (253 nucleotides) under uncultured bacterium. RNAcentral's name for it is "partial 16S ribosomal RNA". It matches the Rfam family "Bacterial small subunit ribosomal RNA", at positions 524 to 776 of the family's 1533-position model. The record is from RNAcentral.